This 812-nucleotide long non-coding RNA is filed under the name Carica papaya (papaya). RNAcentral describes it as "long non-coding RNA (CPAP_LNC014853)". The record is from RNAcentral. Lineage: Eukaryota; Viridiplantae; Streptophyta; Magnoliopsida; Brassicales; Caricaceae.
UCUUAAUGUGGCUCAUGCGGUAAGGAGCGACCGAAAUGGGCUGGGUGCCUAGAUGUAAGUCUAUAGUGAACUCGACUUUUCUGUCCAUUGGCAGUCCGGGUAGUUCAUCUAAAAAUACAUCUGAAAAGUCUCGGACUACUGGAAUCUCUUGGAUACAAAUUUCCUUCUUGGGCUUGCCCUGUACCACGUCCGGGUCGGCGUCGGCAUCCUGCUGAGUAAGGUUGUAAACCCUGCCCUGAAAAUGAGGUCUUCCUUGGUUCUGGUUCCUCGGGCACUCUCUCGUAUAGUGCUAGGAACUGCCACAUAUACGACAGGUGUUGUUGAUGCGGUAGCAUGGUCGGUCCCCGUGAUCCCUACCACAGUGCUGGCAGAUCUUUCCACGUGCUGUCCCUAGAGCCUGAGGAGGGGUCUGGAUCACUGGUCUGGGCCUCUUAUUUGGUUGGAUUGGCGCAGUGGGUGCUGGUCUGCGGGGUGGAGCUGAGGGUCGGUGACUCCCUGGUGACUGAGGACGGGUGUUGAAACUCCUCUCCACAAUCUGUGCCUUUACUAGAACGGCUGAGUAUGUCUUGAGCUCCAGUACCAAUAAGUGUUGCUUGAUUUCUGGGCGGAGGCCCCACUAGAAUCUCCUGGCCUUCCUGCCUUCAUCCAUCAAUGUCUCCGGGGAGUAUCGGCCCAGCUCUAGGAACUUACUAGCAUAUUCUGAUACUGUCAUGUUUCCCUGAACCAGCUGAACAAACUCCAUCUCCUUCAGGUGUCGGAUGUGCUCAGGGAGAUGCUUCGCAUGGAAGGCCGCUAGGAACUGCUCCCAAGUG